AUUUCCUCUGGUGGUCACAUUAGCGAAACACGAUGGAUUUGCAUGACCGAGAGGAGGGAUGGUUGGUCGCCGUAAAUAGUCGAACUUGGAGCUAGAAGCUCAACUCAUGUCUAAUUGUCGUAUCUAAACAGAUUUCGCUUUUCGUAUUUCUCAAGCCCACAUUGUUUUUUUCAAUGAUGGAGGAUGACGAUUUAGUGUGCGAGUAUGAUUCAACCUGGGACACAGAGAGUGAUGAUGGAGACGACCCAGGAGAGAACCAAAUGCGUAUUUUAAACCAGGACUAAACUAAACCGUAUUGGAAAUCAGGUUUAUGGUCAAACAUGUCCUCCAGAAACACGAGGGCUGCGAAGGACAUGCAGAACUACAGACGAGGGUAUCCUAAUCUAACAGAUGAAUGCUCAGGAGAAAGAAUGUUUAAUUUAAAAUUCUAUCUCAAUGAAUACCCCGCCUCCCCUGAUGGUAGGUCAGUUGCUAUUUAAUCAGUUUUCAAUGGCUAUAAAAUGUGUGUAAUGAGCAAAAGCAUAUACAAUGCCUUGCAAAAUUAUUCAUAACCCUUGGAAUUCGUCAUACUAAGUGCGAUUGAAAUGUAUUGUCAUAAGUAAGCAUUUCACUGUAAUGUCUACAUCUGUUGUAUUCAGCUCAUGGGACUAAUAAAAUUUGAUUUUCUUUGGAGACAAGGGUAUAACCAGCCAUAUGGAAGCAAACUGAAACUCAUAUUAUAUAUUGAGGCCAAUUUUCCACAAUGAAAUGUGCCGCUAUUCUGAAUUUAAUUGUGUGCCCUCAUAAUUUGCGUGGACGAUAUUCAAAGACUCUAGGCUUCUGAAGGGCUGAACCUGCUGGGUUGAUGUAUGACCUUUAGAAUGUUUUGAUCAUAUGUUUGUGCUUUUCUGUUUUUAUUUUACAAUUUGUAUCAUGUUAAAUGUUGGCCACUAUUGGGAGCCACUGUCAGUAAUACCACAUACAUUUUAUUUUUGCAUCAUUCCAUUCUGUUUACGUUUCUUUCCUCUGUCACAUCCUUGUAAAUUGUUUCUGAGGGUCACUAGCAUUAGUGGAUCAUAUUAGGCUAACAGUGUGCAAUCAUUUGGGACAUGUAGCCUAUUUGAAUCAUUAUAGAACUCUGACCACACAUAGCAGGUUUAACCAGGAGCCUGGCGCACGGUUCAGGAUGACUGGACCGUUGUCAUCCUGUUCCAUGAUUUGGGUAGAUAUAUAUGAUUAUUGUUCAACCCCUAAUUGUACACUUUUUCCACCUUUUCAAUAUUUUAUGGAUUGAACUCAAAUGUCAACUUGCAUGAUGAAUCAAACACUAUUUUUAUUCAUCGAUGUAUUUUGUGCAAAGAUUUUCCAAGCUGUUUUUUUAUUCAUACAUACUUUCCUAACCUUAAAAUGUACCUAAAUAAUUAAAAGUUCAGAGUAUUCACCAGUCGGUGUUGAAACGGAGAUGAAUAUGCAUAAUGGAAUUAUUUUCAUUGAUCCCUAUAUU
Oncorhynchus keta (chum salmon) is the source of this 1483-nucleotide long non-coding RNA. RefSeq lists it as uncharacterized. The transcript is spliced from 3 exons. Lineage: Eukaryota; Metazoa; Chordata; Actinopteri; Salmoniformes; Salmonidae. The record is from RefSeq and is a predicted model, not a curated record.